CUAAAUAUUCACCAAUAAUAUAAACAAUAAAUUGAUAUCAUUUUUUAGGAAACCAAAGAUAGAAAAUAAUCAUUUAAAAAAAUAUAUAUUUUAAAAAUAUCUUAGGUCAGGUUCGAGGUAGGUAAUGCCCUUGAAGCUAUUACAGUUUUAUUUUAAAUACCCGUGCUCGCCUCCUGACCUUGAAUCGGUCGGAUACAACCCAUCGUGUUA
This 210-nucleotide long non-coding RNA is filed under the name Elaeis guineensis (African oil palm). RNAcentral describes it as "long non-coding RNA (EGUI_LNC035405)". The record is from RNAcentral. Lineage: Eukaryota; Viridiplantae; Streptophyta; Magnoliopsida; Arecales; Arecaceae.